CCUACGGGUGGCUGCAGUCGAGAAUCAUUCACAAUGGGGGAAACCCUGAUGGUGCGACGCCGCGUGGGGGAAUGAAGGUCUUCGGAUUGUAAACCCCUGUCAUGUGGGAGCAAAUUAAAAAGAUAGUACCACAAGAGGAAGCGACGGCUAACUCUGUGCCAGCAGCAGCGGUAAUACAGAGGUCUCAAGCGUUGAUCGGAAUCACUGGGCGUAAAGCGUGCGUAGGCUGUUUCGUAAGUCGUGUGUGAAAGGCGCGGGCUCAACCCGAGGACGGCACAUGAUACUGCGAGACUAGAGUAAGGGAGGGGUAACCGGAAUUCUCGGUGUAGGAGUGAAAUCCGUAGAUAUCGAGAGGAACACUCAUGGCGAAGGCGGGUUCCUGGACAUUAACUGACGCUGAGGCACGAAGGCCAGGGGAGCGAAAGGGAUUAGAUACCCCAGUAGUC
Molecule: ribosomal RNA, 446 nt
Filed under: uncultured bacterium
Lineage: Bacteria
Description: partial 16S ribosomal RNA
Rfam family: Bacterial small subunit ribosomal RNA
Source: RNAcentral